ACUCAAACCAGGGGGGCCCAUGACACAACCCCAACUGCCUUUCACCUCUACGCAUCCUUCAAGGCCACCAUGGAGAACAUCCUGAUGACUUUCUUUUGGAUUUGCGUCAUCUCCGCAAACGUUCUGGCAAAUUCUCUGCCUUUGAGUGACUCCAAGAUUCCCUUGAUGCGCAAACACGUCAAAUGCGUGAGUCUUGUUACCCGUGUGCUCUUCAGAUCAAGUAUGACCUAUUAAUGAUGACAUUUAUUUCUGUCCACACAGCCUUCCAACUCGACUUUCUAUGCUCCCACAAACAUAAAGGUAAUGUUAGAUUCUUGGGAAUUAUGAAGUCAUGUCAAGCAUAUGUGAAUGUGUGCAUUGUCUGUGAUGCUGGGAGUGAUAACAAGGUCACGUUGGGUUCUACCCCUGUAUCAAAGUGUCUAAUUUAGCAGAGUUUUUGUCUACACCGCACUCGAGGUCGUCUAGUACAGGAAGUGAGCACGGCGGGUGUUCACACCUCACCACCAAAAGGAAGCUUAAAAUCAUCUUUUCUCCCUCACACGCACACGCAGAGACUCUGCAUGACGACCGCACUGGACUGCUGUUUGAAAGAACUCGACGGAAAAAUCCGAAAGGAGUGCGAUGACCCUCACGAAUACGUCGACGAUGCUGUGGAGUACCUAAACGUAACAAUUGACGAGUGGAAGGACAGUCAUCCACUGACUAACUCCAGUCAGUGUGCAUGCAAGCGCUGGCCUAAAACACAUUUGAGCCACUUUCUCGACAAAAUGGAGUCGCUGCUUCAGCUUCUGAACAACGAAGCCUCCUUUUAAGUCACCUACGGCCACCUCUGUAGACGGGAAGUGCAGUGACACAGAGGAUCAACUCCAGCUCUCACAAAGCAGCCAAUUUUCUUGAUGAAAUUCCAAAGUUUUGACUGACUUACCGUAUUUGAUAGAUUUUUUUUUCUACUCUAUUUUCGCCAUAUAACUGUACUAUUAAGAUAUGACUGCUUUGACUGCUGGUUUAUUUCAAAUCAAGGAUGAAACUAGAGUGCCUUUUUCACUCCCUGGAAUAAAAUGCCAUCAUUUUGCCCAGGGGAGGCGGGGUUGAAGUAUCGUGUCGAUGUCAAUUUUACAACUUGGGAGGUUAUACCAGACUUGAUUCUAUGUGAAAGAGACAUGUACACUUCUGUAAAAAGAGCCGUAUUUAUAUAUUUAUUGAUAUUUAAAACUCUGGUUGGUUGUGUGUAUUUGAACCUACACCUUAAUAAAUGCAAUCUCAAAA
Hippocampus comes (tiger tail seahorse) is the source of this 1266-nucleotide long non-coding RNA. RefSeq lists it as uncharacterized. NCBI's taxonomy places the organism in Eukaryota, Metazoa, Chordata, Actinopteri, Syngnathiformes, Syngnathidae. The transcript is spliced from 2 exons. The record is from RefSeq and is a predicted model, not a curated record.